Molecule: ribosomal RNA, 253 nt
Filed under: uncultured bacterium
Lineage: Bacteria
Description: partial 16S ribosomal RNA
Rfam family: Bacterial small subunit ribosomal RNA
Source: RNAcentral
UACGGAGGGUGCAAACGUUGCUCGGAAUCAUUGGGCGUAAAGCGCACGUAGGCGGACCGCUAAGUCGGAUGUGAAAGCCCUCGGCUUAACCGAGGAAGUGCAUUCGAAACUGACGGUCUUGAGUAUGGAAGAGGGUCGCGGAAUUCCCGGUGUAGAGGUGAAAUUCGUAGAUAUCGGGAAGAACACCCGUGGCGAAGGCGGCUCUCUGGGACGGUACUGACGCUGAGACGCGAAAGCGUGGGGAGCGAACAGG